Non-coding RNA from Triticum aestivum (bread wheat), 136 nucleotides. Lineage: Eukaryota; Viridiplantae; Streptophyta; Magnoliopsida; Poales; Poaceae. The record is from Rfam.
AUUCUACUCCCUCCGUUGCACAAUACAUGCCUUCUAUUUGUCAAAAUAUAUAUGUAUAUAGACAUGUUUUAGUAUAUAGGUACAUCCAUUUUUGGACAAAUGGAAGUCAAGUAUUUUGGAACGGAGGGAGUACACA